ACUAUAAAAAUAGGGAAAAUAUGUACCCUGCUUACCAUCCUGAGUUUGGGAAGGAGUUGAGUAUAUAAACAUAUUUUAAGCCAAGAUGUUAAAAGACCCUUAAGUAGAAACAAUGCUCCUCAUUACUGGUUUUUCUAAGCACCAGUUUCUUAUUCUGCCCUUAACACACAAACACUCAGGUGGAGUGAAUUCAUCUAUUUGAUAAGUUUGAAACAAGGAAGAGGGCAGGCAUAGCUAGCUCCUCUCUUCCUCUUCCCUUUAAGAGCGGCUGAGAGAAAGUUCGCGUCUGGUCUCUCUCGCGGGUUACAGGAGUAAGCUUCCAUAUGGGAAGCCAAGCGUCUGUCUGGACUGCUGGGACUUAAGAUUUUUGUAGUCACGUGUAACAUGAACUACGCUGGAAAAAAGCAAGGAUUAAAAUUAUUAACUCUUCAAUGCAAAGACUGUGUUUCUUCAUGAUAUAAGUUUCUAUAGGCUGCCUGGUAUAGGACCAGAAAUGUCACUGAUGCAAAUUGCAAUGGCAUUGAAGAGGAGGAUAUAAAUUAUAUUUUAUAUUUAUAGGUAAAUGUGUCUGUGUGCAGACCUUUCAAUCACUCCAUUGGUAUAUUUUCCAUAUUCCCUUGCAUGUUAAAAAGUGACAUAUUUAUGAGCCACAUAUUUGGAGUUCUCAGAUUCCAGUAAACACUCUUGGCCCUAACAAGGAAAGGUCUGUUCUGUGUUUCACUUUAGUGGAGAACAUGUUUAACCACUAUGCUAGCUGGUGAAUUGCUCUAAGUGUCCAUGAGAUUAGCCAGGAAUUUCUUAUGCUUUAUUUUUUUUCUGUUAAGUAGAGAAUUCAGUGUUAAAUAGUCAGGGCUAUCUUGACUCACUCUGCUCAUUGUCUAUCAAAGGAAUAUUAAACCUACAAAAGAGUGGAAAAUAAACUUAAUGAAAAAAUAUGUUGAUUAAAUUAAUUUAAAAAGUGGAAAAUAAACUUAAAAUACAUUUAAAACUUUGUUUUCACAUUAAACAAAGAAAAAUUUGUUUUCAAUAUGUGUAGGAGUCACCCAGAGUUUUCAACAAUUUUCUCAUUAAGACAUGGGGUAAAUCUGUCCUUGCUUGUUAAUUACCGACAUUCUACUUUCCAUGUAGUAUUGUGUUUGAUCCAUACACAGAACAAAAACAUUGAUCUAUGUGAACUCUUUAACUCUUUCAAAUCUUACAACUGGGAUUUCUUUGACUUAGACUACCAGAUUUGAAAAUAUCUUGCUGCUAUGCAUUUGUAGACAUGACUUCCCUCAUUUAAGUCUAGCAGAAAAAUAAGGCUUGCAAAACAUUAAAUCGUAUUUACCUGAGAGUGUAGGUGUUAGGAGGUUUUAAGGAUUUAAAAUCCUUCUUAUUAAUAUCUGAUUAGUUUUACUCUUGGUAUUUUUUUGGAUUAGGUUAAUGUUCUCUGUGCAUACAUCAAUUUAAUUUAAUACAAAAGGCUUUUAUUUUAUCUCAUUCAAAGCUACGUCCAUGAGUUCAUCCUAUCGCGUAAACUCUUUCUCUCAUAUCACACUCUUAGUCCCUAAGGAUGGGCCUCGUGUAUGCUUUUAUCUUUUAGUUUAUCCUUCUUUUCAAAUGCAAAAUGAUUUAUUCUUAUAGACCACUGGGAUUUAAUUAAGUCUGCUUAUGAUAGUCAAAAGUAAAUUCUCUUUUCUAAAUACAGAAUUCCGGAAAGAAAGAAAGGGGCAUUUACUUGCAGACUGCAAAAUUUUAAAUUAUCUGUCUAGUUAGGCAUCCUUUCAGACUGCAUCAGAAUCUUGUCAAUGCUGGAAAAUGUUACUCUGGUAUGCUGGCAGGAUUCUCUUGGAAUACUGCACAAGAAACUACACAGUACACAAUGGCUAUGAUCUGUCCAAAAAGUGACUUUUGACUUCUACAGAUAAAUCUCUUAAAGCAAUCUUUAGAUAUUAAGUCCUGGAUUUUAAAGUGAAAGAAAACCCUCAAACUGUUCCCUUUUCCAGCAGAACAGGAGCUUGAGCCUAACUGGCUGCCUGCCCCUAUGCCCCCAGGCAGCCCCUUGAACCUUAAGCCUUAAAACCUUUAAGCCCCUUAAAAUAAUAAGGCAGUGGCAAAACAAAACAAAUCCAUCCUUAGCUCACCAUACUAAACAGUCAGAAGGUGAGAUUUGGCCAUAAUUUUCCUACUCCUGUGUUAGAACUGAACAUUGUCAUGAUGUUCUUUGUCAUGGAGACAUGAUCUGGACACUGGCAUUUAUUGUCAUAUUAAACUUUGAUCUAGCACUUCUGAUACAAAGGAACCGUCUGAGGGUUUUACUUUAAAAUCCAGGACUAAAUAUCUAAACAUCGUUUUAAGAGAUUUACCUUCAGAAGUCAAAAGUCAUCUUUUGGACAGGUUAUAGCCAUUGUAUAAUUUGGAGUUUCUUGUGCGGUAUUCCAUGAGAAUUCUGCCAGCAUACCAGAGUAAAAUAGUCCAACAUUGACAAGAUUCUGAUGUAGUCUUCACUCUUCCCAGUGGCCAACCUCAGAAGACACCUGGUAGGCAUCCUCUAAAUGCAAUUUCAAGGCUGGUUAUGGAGGUUGAUUAUAGUGCACUUGAAUCUACUUCAUGUGCUGACAGCUCUGAUUCACUCUCCACUUGCUUUUAGAAAACACUCAUGAAAUCCUAACUAUAUUGUACUGCCACCUCUUUAAACACAGCAUAUUCACCUUUGGACAACCUCUGCUGCUUUGUCUCAACAAAACAGCAGGUGGAAUCAGGCUCGUGGUGAGCAGUCACCAAGGGAUGAAAACUGGUAUGUCUAGAGCCAGAUUUUAAACAGUUACUCUUCAAAACAUCUUGUUUUAUUCUACUUUAUAGGCAUCUAGAUACAUCAUGGCAGUAGUAGCAGUAAAAUGGGUGAUAUCACAGAUAGUUAUCUGAAACAUUGAUUUCUAAUCCAAAAUGAAACUUUAUAGUAUAUCUGUCAUAAUUGUAAGUAUUCUUCUCUACCAGAGGACUAUAAUUGCAAAGUUGGGUUUGAUAUGACAUCUGAUGGAAGGACGAUAGUAUACUACCACCCUUCUAUGAACAUUCCAUAUAAACAUACAAAAUGUACCCCUUGACUAGAUCCUGUGCAAAAUAAUGAAGAAAUAUGUGAUCUAGGGCUGAAAACCAGCAUAACAAUUCUGGUUCAGGAGAAUCAGGAAACUCUGAGGAAGGUUUACGUGCCCUUUUAGCUGUGAAAGUAAAUCUUACCCUAACAAGUUUACUGGAGAAGUAUCACAUAGUAAAGUGUAUUUUUCUGAAAAGGGCCCCAACAUUGAUUGAAUGGGUUCAGAUACGGGAAUGUCUUGAAUUUGAUUUGAAACCCCCCACCACAGAAUGUAAAUUAGUUCAACCAUUGUGGAAGACAGCGUGGCGAUUCCUCAAAAAACUGGAAUGAGAAAUACCAUUUGGUCCAGUAAACCCAUUACUAGGUCUAUACCCAAAGGAAUAUAAAUCUUUCCAUUAUAAAGAUAUGUGCAUGCGUAUGUUCAUUCCAGCACUGUUCAGGAUAGCAAAGACAUGGUAUCAACCCAAAUGCCCAGUAAUGAUAGAUUGAAUAAAGAAAAUGUGGUACAUAUACACCAUAAAAUACUAUGCAGCCAUAGAAAAGAAUGAGAUCAU
Molecule: long non-coding RNA, 3630 nt
Organism: Sapajus apella (tufted capuchin)
Lineage: Eukaryota; Metazoa; Chordata; Mammalia; Primates; Cebidae
Exons: 3
Source: RefSeq, a predicted model, not a curated record